This is a long non-coding RNA of Salvia splendens (bonfire salvia), 2219 nucleotides long. RefSeq lists it as uncharacterized. The record is from RefSeq and is a predicted model, not a curated record. The transcript has 3 exons. NCBI's taxonomy places the organism in Eukaryota, Viridiplantae, Streptophyta, Magnoliopsida, Lamiales, Lamiaceae.
UCGAUGGAAAGCGGAAUGAUAUCAGUCGACAGACCGGCGGCCGGAAGCCAGGCCUACUUCCUGACUCAUCUCCACACCGCCGGGAUCUCCGGCGCGGCCCCCUCUUCUGCUCCCGCCUCACUGCCAAGCUUAUCCCCUGCAAGUUCCCGGGAUUCGAUGUCUCUCUCCUCCGCAUCGUCGAAAUCGGCAGUUGGCAUUCUCUCUCCCUUACCUCUCCUUCGUGGAAUUCGUGUUCAAGGAGAUCGAUGCUCAGCAUCGUCCUGGUAAAUUUUUACUGCUUUUCUUUUGUGAUGUUUCAGCGAGAUUUUGCUGCAAUUAUUUCGUUUUUACUGCUUUGAUUUGUAAAUUCUCACUUAGAACUUGCAUAGGUUGCGUUGUUUGGGGACCAGAUUUUCCUUGCGAUUGAAUUUGCUGAUUUACCUCUUUUGAUUUUGCUCAGUUAUGUGUACUUGUUUCGUGGGGAAUCAGGCUGUACGCUUCACACUGGGGAUUUUUGUUGGGAAUCGAAUAGUUUAGCCACGGGAAAUGGAAGGGCUGUGUUGCUUGAUGCUCUCAAGGAUCAGACACUUGAUACUCUUUUUUUGUACUCCCUCCGUCCCACUACAAGUGAAGCGGUUCAAUUCGGACGUUGUUUUGCAAAAAUAAUACUCCGAAUAAAUAAGAGAAUAAUAUAUAUACGACUCUCUUCUAUAUUAUCCUCUCUCUUAUUUUACUUUCUCUCCACUCGAACUAUUUAUUAUCAUCUUUGCAAAACAACGGCCGGAAAGAAACGCCUCACUUGUGGUGGGACAGAGGGAGUAUAAUACUUACUGCAACCCACAGUACUUGUUUCCUUCUCAUGAAGUGGCUUCCAAACAGGUAGAUACAGGUAGAUAUUGUAUUCUUCUGAAAUAUGAUUCUUGUAUUUUGUAGUUAUUUUCGUUCCGUUAUGACUUAAGCUGGCUAUAGUAUUUAUGCUCCCUCUCACUAUAUUCUUAGACUAACUGUUCUGUUCAUAUAAGAUGUUCAGAUGAGGAAUAGACUGCCCUGAUAAGGUGGGGUUGAUUUAUGGUACUACAGAUUGUUUCAGGUUUCAACAUAGGUUUUCACUCAUUACUAUUUCUCAAGAAAGGAAGGAAACAAAUCAGAAGAUGCGUGUGUAAAGUUAGUUGGUUUAGGCGUGGACGAGACAAUGAAAGAAUUGUUAGAGAUAGUCUGUUGUGCUUGCAUUUAUUGAAUAAUUAUAUGGAUGACUAAUUUUUUUGUAGAUCUUUGAGCUGAGAUGUCUCUAGAGAUGUUGCGUUGCUUGAACCUUUACAUCUCCGUUAUGUUUCAGAAGAUUGAGCCACACUUUUGACGACUAUUCACAGAUUGUUGAUAUUAUCACGUCUCAUCCAAACGAUGAAGUAGUUAUUGCAAUAGACUCAUUGGGAAAGGAAGACCUUCUGCUCUAUUUAUCACAAGCACUGAACAUGAAGAAUUGGUUAUGGCCGGAAUGAUUACAAAUCAUGCAUCUACUUGGGUUUCAUGACAACUUCACGACCCACACCUCUCUUACUAGAAUCCGUGCUAUUCCUCGUUACAGUUUUAAAACUGACACUCUUAACAAGCUGAAUGAAUUCCGUGGCCCAACCAUAGGUAUUAUGCCAUCUGGCAUGCCAUGGGCUGUGGCCAGGAAAGAUGGGAAUACGGUUGGUGCUUCUGCAUCUCAUGUGAAUGAAAAAGUGUGCAGCAAAAAUACCGGAAGUUGCUCUGAGAUACACGGUUUGGGUGAAAUUCAGGAAACGCUACAAAAUAUUAUGAAGUCCAUUACUCUGAUCACUCAUGCUAUUCUGAGAUACAAGAAUUCAUUGAGCUUCUCCGGCCUGUCAAUAUCAAAGGCAUUGUGUCUUCGAGAUCAUGUAGCAUUAACCCCCGUUACUACUUUGGCCACCUUUGUGGACCUGAGCAAGCUCUCUGGAGGGUACAGCAGAAACUUGAUUACGAGGAAGAUUUAAGGAGGGCUGAAGUUGCUGAAAUAAAACCUAUAGCAGAUGGUGUUUCCCAUGUGUCAGGAAGGAAAAGGAAGAAUGGUCACAUGAGGUUUUUUGGUAUACGCAUAAGUAGGGUAAGCUUGUUGGGGAGGUUGAGCCGUGGAGCUAGAAUUACAAGUACGGAGUCUUGCUCCGAAUGAUUGAAACUCAUUGCAGUGUAUAUCCAGUUAAGCUCUUUAGAAGGAACAAUAAAUAUAGCUGUAUAAC